This 315-nucleotide ribosomal RNA is filed under the name uncultured bacterium. RNAcentral describes it as "bacterial SSU rRNA". It matches the Rfam family "Bacterial small subunit ribosomal RNA", at positions 30 to 334 of the family's 1533-position model. The record is from RNAcentral.
AUUGAACGCUGGCGGCGUGCUUAACACAUGCAAGUCGAACGUGAAAGUCCUUCGGGAUGAGUAAAGUGGCGCACGGGUGAGUAACGCGUGGAUAAUCUACCUUCAAGAUGGGGAUAACGGCUGGAAACGGUCGCUAAUACCGAAUAAGCUGUAGGUUUUGAAUUUACGGUAAAGAUGGCCUCUGCUUGCAAGCUAUCGCUUGAAGAUGAGUCCGCGUCCCAUUAGCUAGUUGGCGGGGUAACGGCCCACCAAGGCGACGAUGGGUAGCCGGUCUGAGAGGAUGAUCGGCCACACUGGGACUGGAACACGGCCCAG